GGCUGGGUGACCGAGUUGGUUAAGGUGUUGGAUUUAAGACUUUUAAGUUUCCCAAUGAAGGCGACUUCGCGCGAGUUCGAAUCUCGCCUCAGCCA
Hymenopellis radicata is the source of this 95-nucleotide non-coding RNA. Lineage: Eukaryota; Fungi; Basidiomycota; Agaricomycetes; Agaricales; Physalacriaceae. The record is from the annotation of a GenBank genome assembly.